Vicia faba (fava bean) is the source of this 267-nucleotide non-coding RNA. NCBI's taxonomy places the organism in Eukaryota, Viridiplantae, Streptophyta, Magnoliopsida, Fabales, Fabaceae. The record is from the annotation of a GenBank genome assembly.
AUGGAAGCAGAGGGUAAAAUAGUAAUUUUCCAAGACAAGGUUGGAGGUAGAAAACACAGAUCUGUCUCUCUGACCGUGUCACUGUCAAACCUCGGCGCUUCCAAUUGUAUUCGUUGGAGUUGGUAUCCAAAGAGAACAAUUUUUGGACUCUCUCUCUUUCUCAAUUUCAACUUUAACCUUCUAACCCUUUUUUACUUUUCUUCUUUAUAUAUAAAAAUACUUUUUUUUUCACUGAAACUGUUUCGGUCUUUGCUUUUGAUAAUCUGA